This is a long non-coding RNA of Oncorhynchus kisutch (coho salmon), 2850 nucleotides long. RefSeq lists it as uncharacterized. The transcript has 3 exons. Lineage: Eukaryota; Metazoa; Chordata; Actinopteri; Salmoniformes; Salmonidae. The record is from RefSeq and is a predicted model, not a curated record.
UACACACUACCAAGUAGGCGCUAUUUUUGUCCAGAUGUUGCCAUACCGGAGUUACACAGUAUUGUUGAAACACAUCCAUGAGCUACUUGUUAUGGGCGUCACUGCUAUUAGCUUCACGAUUGACAAUUGGAGCAGCGAUUUCGGCCCCAUGAGCAUGCUGAGUCUGACAGCACAGUGGGUUGAUGAGGAUUUCGUACAGAGGAAAGUCGUAUUGCAUGUUUAAGAAUGUGCUGGUUCUCAUACCGCUGCUGUCAUUUCAAUGGCAUUUUAGAACAUGUUUGAAACUUGGAAACAUGAACACACUCCUAGCGCCAGACUCGAGAAAUAAGCUAAUCAACUGCGUCUGCAGCAGACGUGAUGCUUUCUGUCAUGGCAUUAAAACGCCUGCUCAACAAAACUGCCCACAGACCGUGGGGUUAAAACUUGCAAAAGUACUCUACUAGAGGCUGUGAACAAACGAUUCGUUGGCAUUCACUCUGAGCCUCUUUACUGUGUCACCACCAUGCUCGAUGCUAGGUACAAGUACCGCUACUUCGAUGCAGACAAGAAAUAGGGUUUCCGUGAAAUGCUAGACAGCUGGACAAGAUGGACAUGGACACAGUGACAGUGUGCACCGAGGAAGAGAGGCCACGGACAGAGAGAGCUGAAACUUCACUGCUUGACCUGUAUGAUGAAAUCCUGGUUGAGAAUGAAAGGACUGGACAAAUGAACAAUGCAACAGCACAGCAAGUACCAGGGCUGCCGAGUUUGAGGGGCGGACAGUCAGCUGGGGGACACGGGGCUACUGCUAGGAGCCGGGACUGGUAUCCUUUUUUUUCUUUUGGGGGAACUUUGGAUUGUUUUGAAUAUGUUGGGCCGAAAUUUGGGUUGAGGGUGGGACCCUCAUUUUAAGGAAGGGGUUGUCAUGACCCCUCCUCUGCAUUGCAGGGGCGGUUCCUCCUGCAGGCAGAGGAGGGUCGUUAGUGAUUGGAGCCACAUGGGCUCAGGGUAUUUAAACUGCUUCACUAACCACUCUUGUCUCUCUCUCUGCUCCUCCAGGUAUGUCCAGGUCCUGUUUUGUUUGUUCCUUUGUAGUUUUACGUAGUUUUCACUCAGUCAUAUUCACACACAGAUUCACGCAUCCCUGCACUUUAUAUACAUCCUACACUAUGAUACUUUCACACCUCAUUCCCUUUUCUUCGUUUAAAGUUAAUAGUUUUUGGUUUAUAAUAAAGAACCUUUUUGAUUGGCCUAUACCUGUUGUUCGUGUCCCCUUAUUUUUGCCACAGGCUAUGAGCCGGCCUGUGACAGUAUGAAUUUCCAGUUCACUUGAUUGGAGAUUAUCUGAUGAGGAGAACGAAGAUCCAGAAGUCCAGAAGGACAUUAAGACCUUUUAAGUACUUGAUAAAAUCCUGGCUUCAAGGAUCUCAAAUGGAAAAGGGAAGGAGUUCCAUCAACUAUGGAAGGAACUAUUGCAGCUAAAACCCAACAUAUAUUCAGAAUGUGCAGAUGAAGCAGAAAAUACAAGGAUAUUUUUGGUCCUGGCUCCUUGCAUUAGUAAGUCAAAUAGUAUCAUUUCAGAAUGCUGAUCAGUGUGGAUACUCUCUACAAUGCACAUUGACUGGAGCUUUGAGGACAAUGUUAGUCAUAGUACUCACAUGCCAAAUUACGAUUCCGUGAUAAACUAAAGAACUUGGAAAAUGGUGAUAUAAAUAAUCAGCUUUCUUGAUAACCUUACUUAGAUUCAGUCUCAGAAUUUGAAUAUGGUAAUUUGUUAUUCAUAUGCAGGCUAUGUUUUAAUAAUACAUUUUCAUUCACCCUAGUUCAUGGAUCCAGUGAAGAAGUGGACUUUGUUCCUGUGUUUGUGACUCAAGUGCCUGACAAAGAGUAUGAGACACAACACAAGUGGAGGAAAGUGAAUUUGUUUAAAUAUGCUGGAACACCAUUAUAGAUGGUAACAAUUUACAUAAUUCAUUUGCUCAUAACCCACUGUUCCCCGGGCGCUGAAGAUGUGGAUGUCGAUUAAGGCAGCCCCCGCACCUCUCUGAUUCAGAGGGGCUGGGUUAAAUGAGGAAGACACAUUUCAGUUGAAGGCAUUCAGUUGUACAACUGACUAGGUAUCUCCCUUUCCCAAGUAGGCCAAUUUAUACUAACUACUCCUGUAAUGUUAGUCUUACAAUGCAGUUGUAUUAUUCUACACUAGAUGGCAAUAUAACCCUAGGAAACAAUGUAACUGCUUUGUACUUUCACUGUAUUCUGUUUUUUCUUGGUUCUUUGAUUUCUGAAAACACCACAUAGGCAACCGGUUUCCCAUUAAACUGUCCAUGAACAACUUUCCCAUAUUCUUUUGAAUUUGCUGUUUGGUGGAUGACAUGUCACUUAAAGUCCUAGUUAGAGAGUCAUGAACAUUGUCCAGUGGGCUCUUUUUCAAAUGUCAUGUAUUUCAGUGGUCUAGAAAAAAUAAUGCAUCAGGUUUAAUUGAUAUAUGCAAAUUCUGAAUUAUUGCUUAGAUUGUUGACAAUGUCUCUCCAAAACAUCUCAGGAUGAUACUAGACAGAGCUCGCUAAUGGUUCUUAAACUCUGAGUUUAGGCUUCUGUAUGCCAUGUUUACCUGCUGGAAUCCAAACAAUGCAUGAACUCAACUCCCACACAGCAGCAGACUUGGCUGAAGUGGGUCACGAAGAGAGGGCAGAUGAGUCACAAGGCAGCCAGUCCAAUUCCCAGGAACAAAAAGAAACAAGACUUUGUGAAGAAAAACAUUGAGAUAUGUCAAAGUUCAUGUUGGUCCAAGUGCAGUGUCAGACUGUCACAUAGAUUUAGACAAGUCCCAUGUUACGUGUGUUUUUUUUUUACCCCACUGGGAAAAAUAAA